This 1155-nucleotide unclassified non-coding RNA is filed under the name Hevea brasiliensis (rubber tree). Lineage: Eukaryota; Viridiplantae; Streptophyta; Magnoliopsida; Malpighiales; Euphorbiaceae. The record is from RNAcentral.
UUUUGGUGAUUUGGGGUUUGCUGUGUGUGGACCUGUUGGUAGAUUGUCUGUUGAUCUUAUGAUUAUUCUAUCUCAAGCUGGUUUUUGCGUUAGCUACUUGAUUUUUGUGGCUAAUACUUUGGCAUAUUUGUUCAAUUAUUCAAUUGCAAAACCUGAUCCCAAAAUCUUGGGACUUUCACCCAAGGCAGCUUAUAUAUGGGGCUGUUUCCCAUUUCAGUUGGGAUUGAAUUCAAUACCUACUCUGACCCUUUUAGCCCCUUUAAGUAUUUUUGCUGAUAUUGCUGAAUUAGGAGCUAUGGGUGUGGUGAUGGUUGAGGAUGUGAUGAUUUACCUUCAGAACAGGCCUGUUCUUGAAAUGUUUGGUGGGUUCAAUGUGUUUUUCUAUGGACUUGGUGUGGCUGUGUAUGCUUUUGAAGGGAUUGGUAUGGUCUUACCUCUGGAAUCAGAGACAAGAGACAAGGACAAGUUUGGGAAAAUCUUGGGAUUGGCAAUGGGCUUCAUAUCAUUGCUGUUUGGUGCUUUUGGAGUAUUGGGCUACUUUGCAUUUGGGGAAGACACUAAAGAUAUAAUCACUACAAAUCUUGGGCAGGGAUUGCUCAGCACCUUUGUUCAACUUGGCCUUUGCAUAAACCUGUUUUUCUCUUUCCCCCUUAUGAUGAAUCCAGUCUAUGAAGUAAUGGAAAGGAGAUUCUGGGAAGGCAGGUACUGUGUGUGGUUGAGAUGGCUUGUGGUUUUAGCAGUGACUUUUGUUGCAUUGGCGGUGCCCAAUUUUGCUGAUUUCUUGUCACUUGUUGGGAGCAGUGUGUGCAUUGUUUUGGGAUUUGUGUUGCCUUCUUUGUUUCACUUAAUUGCGUUCAAAGAUGAAUUGAGAUGGUAUGGUUUUGCUUCUGAUGCUGCAUUGAUUGUCAUGGGCACAAUUUUUGCCGUCUAUGGAACCUCUUCUUCCCUGAUGGAGAUCUUUGCAAAAAAAGCUUAGUUUCUUUUCCUCAUAGCAUUUCAUAAGAUGUAUAUUGAAGAGAUUGUUUUUAUUCAUAAGCAAAGGGCAAGUAAGUCCACACUUUGUUCCUACUAGUAAUUCAUUUGUUAAGCUAUUAUUUUUGAGUAUGUUGAGGGGUGUGAGGGUCAUGUUCAUGUACGAUUGGAAUUUACUACAAG